RNAcentral lists this microRNA precursor (92 nucleotides) under Callithrix jacchus (white-tufted-ear marmoset). RNAcentral describes it as "microRNA cja-mir-891d precursor". Its record names the gene cja-mir-891d. The stretch from base 8 to 86 matches the Rfam family "mir-891 microRNA precursor family". The record is from miRBase by way of RNAcentral. Lineage: Eukaryota; Metazoa; Chordata; Mammalia; Primates; Cebidae.
AUUUUCUCCUUAACCCGUGCAUCCAACAUGUGGCACUGAGUCAUUAAAACCUUCAGUGCCACUUGUUUGUUGCAAUGGUCAAGGGUGAUAAU